Molecule: ribosomal RNA, 879 nt
Filed under: Cantharellus tomentosus
Lineage: Eukaryota; Fungi; Basidiomycota; Agaricomycetes; Cantharellales; Hydnaceae
Description: eukaryotic LSU rRNA
Rfam family: Eukaryotic large subunit ribosomal RNA
Source: RNAcentral
AGUAACUGCGAGUGAAGAGGGAAGAGCUCAUCAUUGGAAUCUGGCGGUGUUGCACCGUCCGAGUUGUAGAUGAGGAGUAGUUCGUCUGGACUGCAUGGCAUCCAAGUACAAUAGGCCGUCAGUGGGACAUCAUAGAGGGUGACAAUCCCGUCCUUGAUGCCAAUGUACAAGUCCUUUACGAUGACUAUCUCAGAGAGUCGAGCAGUUUGGGAUUUGCUGCUUAAACAUGGGAGGUAGAUUCCUUCUAAAGCUAAAUACAGGCGAGAGACCGAUAGAGAACAAGUACCGCAAGGGAAAGAUGAAAUAGAACUCUGUGAAGGGAGUCAAAAGGCGUGAAAUUGUUGCGAGAGAAGCGAUUCAAGUCAGCGUAGCUAGGCCCAUCAAGCUUUACCGCUUUGGACUAGCUUUGCCAGCGGUCUUGUCCUAGAGACUUGACUUUGUAUGCCCAGCCUGGUCUAUACAGGUAGCCCCCUUUGGGGGCCAGCGGCAUCGCUGGUGGAAUGGCUUGCAAUCGACCCGUCUUGAAACACGGACCAAGGAGUCUAACAUGUAUGCGAGUAUAAGGGUGGCAAACCCGUAUGCGCAAUGAAAGUGACUUUCGUUGAUUGAGAAUGGCCUGACGACCAGACAAGCAAUACAUGUCCCUCGAACGGCCAUUGCCCAAGUUCCGUGGUAGACCCCACGAACAUGGAGUUGGAGCAUACAUGCUAGGACCCGAAAGAUGGUGAACUAUGCCUGGACAAAGCGAAGCCAAAGGAAACUCUGGUGGAGGCUUGUAGCGAUUCUGACGUGCAAAUCGAUCGUCUGAUCUGGGUAUAGGGGCGAAAGACUAAUCGAACCAUCUCAUAGCUGGUUCCUGCCCAAAUUUCCCUCAGGAUA